UCAAGAGUACGUGAAACCGUUCAGGGGUAAACCUGAGAAACCCAAAAGAUCGAAUGGGGAGAUUCAUCGUCAGCUCAUUUUAUAUAUAUGCAUGUUAUAAUAUGAGUUAUUGCUUUAUUGCAGUAUUGCUUAUAUAUUCAUGUAUAUUUUAUUGUAAAAUGUGGUCGGCGUGCACUUCUCCCCUAGUAGGACAUCGUGACCCGUUGAAAUAUAAAUAAUAUUAUACAAUCUACGGCCCAAGUUGUAAGAUUUUAAUGAAAAAUUUUAAAUUUUUCAUUGAAAACACUUGGUGUUACCUGAUUGUAAUUCGACGGUAUACGUAUGGUAUUGAGCCGCAAAAAUAUAUAAUAUGCGUCUAUUAUCCUACACAAGCAAGAUUAAUUACUAAUAGUUUACGGACUUAGUGCCGUCGUUGGUAUUAAUCAGCUGUUGGUUGUAUGGAUCUAAGACUGGCUUAUUUUAUAAUACCGGUCAACGAUGCUAUUGCUUUGGGUACUUUCAGGACCCGUCUUGAAACACGGACCAAGGAGUCUAACAUGUACGCGAGUCAUUGGGAUUUUAAAAAAAUUAAACCUAAAGGCGUAAUGAAAGUAAAGGUCAAUCUUGUAUUGACUUAAGGAGGAUAUAUUAUUUUUAAUAAUUAAAAAAAUAUAAAAUAAUAUCGCACUCCUGGGGCGUCUCAUUCUCAUUUUAUGAGAAGAGGCGCACCUAGAGCGUACACGUU
RNAcentral lists this ribosomal RNA (724 nucleotides) under Indadesha sp. BIOUG36019-F01. RNAcentral describes it as "partial 28S ribosomal RNA". It matches the Rfam family "Eukaryotic large subunit ribosomal RNA", at positions 389 to 810 of the family's 3401-position model. The record is from RNAcentral. Lineage: Eukaryota; Metazoa; Arthropoda; Insecta; Hymenoptera; Braconidae.